Non-coding RNA from Nelumbo nucifera (sacred lotus), 1318 nucleotides. Lineage: Eukaryota; Viridiplantae; Streptophyta; Magnoliopsida; Proteales; Nelumbonaceae. The record is from RefSeq and is a predicted model, not a curated record.
UUUCUCCGGUUUCCUUGAUCAUUGUUACAAUUCUUAGCUGCGGUGAUCUACCCGACAUCCCCUUACUUGGCCACUCUCUCUCAUUUCCUUCUCUCCCUUUCAGUUUCUCUCAAUUGAUCCCUCCAAUUCUAUCCAUCUCUUUAAUUUCCCUCUCAUCUUAAACUCCCAAGCACCCACAAAGCCUUGUUCAUCGUCGUCCCUAAUGUGUGGUCUUCAUUUAACCUAUGAAGAUAACUAGGAAUCAUAAUCAUUCAUUGAUUUCAGGUAGACUGCCUGAAAUCGUCGUCCUUGUUCAUCGAUUUCAUUAUGGGACUCUCAAAUCACCUAUCAUUCUUCAACCCAAAACCCUAAUAUGAACAACUUCGAAGCAUAUAAACAUUAAACCAAAUCAAGAAAUGAUCUGGAAAGCCUAACACUAAUGAUAGAGCAAGAUAUUGAAGAAAUUGGAGUAGAAAGAUUUCGUACUCUUUCAGGUGAACCAAGGGGACGCCAGAAAGUAUAACGGGAAUCUGAUGAAGUUGAUUUCACAGAAAAUAUAGUUGUGCCUUGCCUGAAUAUUCUUUCGGUUCCAGUUUUACAUUAGGUCCCUCCAUUGCAUCUUCCCCAUUACACAAAAUCUGAAACAAGGUAGCGAAAAAAUCCGAUUUUGCAAAGCUCCAAAACCCUUCAGCACCUUAAACUUUCUUAGUUUAGAUUCAAAUCUCAAAACAUCUUCCUCAGAACUACUUGAGACUGCUAGAUCUGCUACCAGAAAUUUCAGCAAAUUUUUCCUGAAACUCGUCCUCUAAAACAUCAACCGAAAACCUUAAAAGCCAAACUUUUGAAUAGUACAUGAAAUCCAAGCCCAUCGAUCAUUUGGUUUUUGAUCCAUCACGAUCUCUCAAGCUCAGCUUCGGAGUCGCAGCAGAGCUGGUGACAGUGGCUCAACUCCAGCACCGGAAUCUUGUCCAGCUCAGGGGGUCAACUUCAGCACCGGAAUCUUGUCCGGCUCAGGGGAGUACAUGGCAGAGAAAGGGGAGCGGUUUGAGAAUACUUUUGCAGUAGAGGUGGUGGCGGUGGCUCAACUCCAGCACCGGAAUCUUGUUUGAAUCAAGGGAUCAACUCCAGAUAAGGGCAUGGUUGCCAUGAAUUUGGACGGGUUCCUCCCUCACCUCUUUCCCCAUCCCCAUUUGUGGCUUGGAUUCCACCGCCUGCUCUGCCAUUAUAGAAGCUAGAGACAAAAUGAAGAUCUGAAAGAUGCAAUUUCUUCAAUAUCUUGCUCUGUCAUCGGCGUUAGGCUUUCAAAAAUGAAUUUUUGCACAUCUCCGUUAAAUCUUAA